AUACUUACCUGGUGGGGGAGAUACCAUGAUCCCCAAGGUGGUUUGCCCAGGGCGAGCCUUAUCUGUUGCACUCCGGAUGUGCUGACCCCUGAAAUUUCCACAAAUGUGGGAAACUCAACUGCGUAAUUUGUGGUAGUUGGGGACUGCAUUUGCACUUUCCCCUG
Saimiri boliviensis boliviensis (Bolivian squirrel monkey) is the source of this 164-nucleotide small nuclear RNA. Its record names the gene U1. It matches the Rfam family "U1 spliceosomal RNA". From Rfam's summary of the family: U1 is a small nuclear RNA (snRNA) component of the spliceosome (involved in pre-mRNA splicing). Its 5' end forms complementary base pairs with the 5' splice junction, thus defining the 5' donor site of an intron. The record is from Ensembl. NCBI's taxonomy places the organism in Eukaryota, Metazoa, Chordata, Mammalia, Primates, Cebidae.